UCGCUUCAGCAGCACAUAUACUACAAUUAGAAUAAUACAGAGAAGAUUAACAUGACCCCUGUGCAGGGAUGACACACCGGUUUGUGAAGAGUUCAUAUUUUUA
Suncus etruscus (white-toothed pygmy shrew) is the source of this 103-nucleotide small nuclear RNA. NCBI's taxonomy places the organism in Eukaryota, Metazoa, Chordata, Mammalia, Eulipotyphla, Soricidae. The record is from RefSeq and is a predicted model, not a curated record.